Molecule: long non-coding RNA, 619 nt
Organism: Megalopta genalis
Lineage: Eukaryota; Metazoa; Arthropoda; Insecta; Hymenoptera; Halictidae
Source: RefSeq, a predicted model, not a curated record
UGUUCAUGGGUUUCCUCAAAGUCUUCUGCUAACUAGGUUAUCUGCGGUCUUCGUCUGAACUUAAAAGUCUUCUUUUCAUAGCCUUGGUCGCUUUAGCUUUAAGAUCAGAAUCAAAAUGUUGACGAGGAACGUAAAAAAAGACGGAGUAGAAAAUAAUGUAACUUGAAAGAUUGAGAAUGUUACUGGUGAAAUUGUAUAAUUUUAUAGACUUUGUUUUAUAAUUAUUAACAAAUAUUACCUGUUUAUUCUAGGUGAUAUACAUGUGUUUACUAUAAUCAGUUGAAGAUGAACACAAAAUAUCAUCAACAAAGACUGCAAACACGCAAUGUAGGAUUUUAUAAGAACCAAUAGGAAAAGUGGUCUAGCUAAUAUAAACGAGCAAUGUACUAUGGCCAAGAAUACGAACACACAGUGUAAAGUAUGGACCAAAUGCAUUUAUAUUUUAAAACAAUCGUUGAAUGAUACUCAUUAGGCAAGACGGUGAACGUGUAACUACGAAAUUCAAAGUUGAAGUAUGAUUUACUUAUUUGUUUAUUCGUUCUUUACAAUUAGUGGAAAUAUUCUGUAAUUUGUUGUUUAAUGAUUGUAAUAAACAAUUAAUUGUGAUCCAUUAAUCUAA